Molecule: ribosomal RNA, 583 nt
Filed under: uncultured bacterium
Lineage: Bacteria
Description: bacterial SSU rRNA
Rfam family: Bacterial small subunit ribosomal RNA
Source: RNAcentral
CCUACGGGAGGCAGCAGCUAAGAAUAUUCCGCAAUGGACGAAAGUCUGACGGAGCGACGCCGCGUGGAUGAAGAAGGCCGAAAGGUUGUAAAGUUCUUUUGUUGGGGAAGAAUAACCAUGGGAGGGAAUGCCCGUGGGAUAACAUGAACCGACGAAUAAGCCCCGGCUAACUACGUGCCAGCAGCCGCGGUAACACGUAGGGGGCAAGCGUUGUUCGGAAUUACUGGGCGUAAAGGGCAUGUAGGCGGCCUUGUAAGCUUGGCGUGAAAGUCCACGGCUUAACCGUGGGAUUGCGUUGAGAACUGCGAGGCUUGAGUGACGGAGGGGGAGCUAGAAUUCCUGGUGUAGGGGUGGAAUCUGUAGAGAUCAGGAAGAAUACCAAUGGCGAAGGCAAGCUCCUGGCCGAUGACUGACGCUGAGGUGCGAAAGUGUGGGGAUCAAACAGGAUUAGAUACCCUGGUAGUCCACACUGUAAACGAUGUACACUAGGUGCUGGUACGGAUGUAUCAGUGCCGUAGCUAACGUGAUAAGUGUACCGCCUGGGGAGUAUGCUCGCAAGGGUGAAACUCAAAUGAAUUGACGG